UUGAGAGAUAGGAUUCUGUGUAACUCAGACGUGGAGAAAGUAACUUGACAGAUUGUAUCCCAGGAAGUUUUUUUAAACAUUCAGAAAUCUGAAUUUUCAUGAUGAAACUACGUCUCCGUCUUUGGCUUUUUGUCCUGUGGCUGAAUGUGAAGACGUCUUUACAACAAAAUGAUCCCACAUGUGAAUUUGGCAUUAUACACAGUAAUCUCUUUGUGGCUGGUUUACCACCUCA
This is a long non-coding RNA of Melanotaenia boesemani (Boeseman's rainbowfish), 232 nucleotides long. RefSeq lists it as uncharacterized. The transcript has 2 exons. The record is from RefSeq and is a predicted model, not a curated record. NCBI's taxonomy places the organism in Eukaryota, Metazoa, Chordata, Actinopteri, Atheriniformes, Melanotaeniidae.